AAUACAUGCAAGUCGAGCGGACAGAAGGGAGCUUGCUCCCGGACGUUAGCGGCGGACGGGUGAGUAACACGUAGGUAACCUGCCCCUUAGACUGGGAUAACUCCGGGAAACCGGAGCUAAUACGGGAUAAUAAAGAGAAUCACCUGAUUCUCUUUUGAAAGACGGUUUCGGCUGUCACUAAGGGAUGGGCCUGCGGCGCAUUAGCUAGUUGGUAAGGUAACGGCUUACCAAGGCGACGAUGCGUAGCCGACCUGAGAGGGUGAUCGGCCACACUGGGACUGAGACACGGCCCAGACUCCUACGGGAGGCAGCAGUAGGGAACCUUCCGCAAUGGACGAAAGUCUGACGGAGCAACGCCGCGUGAGUGAGGAAGGCCUUCGGGUCGUAAAGCUCUGUUGUGAGGGAAGAACAAGUACCGGGGUAACUACCGGUACCUUGACGGUACCUCACCAGAAAGCCACGGCUAACUACGUGCCAGCAGCCGCGGUAAUACGUAGGUGGCAAGCGUUGUCCGGAAUUAUUGGGCGUAAAGCGCGCGCAGGCGGCUUCUUAAGUCUGAUGUGAAAUCUCGGGGCUCAACCCCGAGCGGCCAUUGGAAACUGGGAAGCUUGAGUGCAGAAGAGGAGAGUGGAAUUCCACGUGUAGCGGUGAAAUGCGUAGAUAUGUGGAGGAACACCAGUGGCGAAGGCGACUCUCUGGUCUGUAACUGACGCUGAGGCGCGAAA
Molecule: ribosomal RNA, 725 nt
Filed under: Bacillus sp. T42
Lineage: Bacteria; Bacillati; Bacillota; Bacilli; Caryophanales; Bacillaceae
Description: bacterial SSU rRNA
Rfam family: Bacterial small subunit ribosomal RNA
Source: RNAcentral